This 716-nucleotide ribosomal RNA is filed under the name uncultured bacterium. RNAcentral describes it as "bacterial SSU rRNA". It matches the Rfam family "Bacterial small subunit ribosomal RNA", at positions 56 to 755 of the family's 1533-position model. The record is from RNAcentral.
UGCAAGUCGAGCGGAUUGAUGGGAGCUUGCUCCCUGAUAUCAGCGGCGGACGGGUGAGUAACACGUGGGCAACCUGCCUGUAAGACUGGGAUAACACCGGGAAACCGGUGCUAAUACCGGAUAAUCCUUUUCCUCUCAUGAGGAAAAGCUGAAAGUCGGUUUCGGCUGACACUUACAGAUGGGCCCGCGGCGCAUUAGCUAGUUGGUGAGGUAACGGCUCACCAAGGCGACGAUGCGUAGCCGACCUGAGAGGGUGAUCGGCCACACUGGGACUGAGACACGGCCCAGACUCCUACGGGAGGCAGCAGUAGGGAAUCUUCCACAAUGGACGAAAGUCUGAUGGAGCAACGCCGCGUGAGCGAUGAAGGCCUUUGGGUCGUAAAGCUCUGUUGUUAGGGAAGAACAAGUAUCGGAGUAACUGCCGGUACCUUGACGGUACCUAACCAGAAAGCCACGGCUAACUACGUGCCAGCAGCCGCGGUAAUACGUAGGUGGCAAACGUUGUCCGGAAUUAUUGGGCGUAAAGCGCGCGCAGGCGGUUCCUUAAGUCUGAUGUGAAAGCCCCCGGCUCAACCGGGGAGGAUCAUUGGAAACUGGGGAACUUGAGUGCAGAAGAGAAGAGCGGAAUUCCACGUGUAGCGGUGAUAUGCGUAGAGAUGUGGAGGAACACCAGUGGCGAAGGCGGCUCUUUGGUCUGUAACUGACGCUGAGGCGCG